AGUGAACGCUGGCGGUAGGCCUAACACAUGCAAGUCGAACGGGAGCACAGUAAGAGCUUGCUCUUACGGGUGGCGAGUGGCGGACGGGUGGGGAAUACAUCGGAAUCUACUUUUUCGUGGGGGAUAACGUAGGGAAACUUACGCUAAUACCGCAUACGACCUACGGGUGAAAGCAGGGGAUCUUCGGACCUUGCGCGAUUGAAUGAGCCGAUGUCGGAUUAGCUAGUUGGCGGGGUAAAGGCCCACCAAGGCGACGAUCCGUAGCUGGUCUGAGAGGAUGAUCAGCCACACUGGAACUGAGACACGGUCCAGACUCCUACGGGAGGCAGCAGUGGGGAAUAUUGGACAAUGGGCGCAAGCCUGAUCCAGCCAUACCGCGUGGGUGAAGAAGGCCUUCGGGUUGUAAAGCCCUUUUGUUGGGAAAGAAAAGCAGCAGGUUAAUACCCCGCUGUUCUGACGGUACCCAAAGAAUAAGCACCGGCUAACUUCGUG
RNAcentral lists this ribosomal RNA (492 nucleotides) under uncultured bacterium. RNAcentral's name for it is "partial 16S ribosomal RNA". It matches the Rfam family "Bacterial small subunit ribosomal RNA", at positions 29 to 507 of the family's 1533-position model. The record is from RNAcentral.